AGCUGCGUGGCGCAGUGGAAGCGCGCCGGGCUCAUAUCUUCCACAAGACGUAGAGACCCGGAGGGCCCUCGAUCGAAACGAGGCGUAGCUA
Cladorrhinum sp. PSN259 is the source of this 91-nucleotide non-coding RNA. Lineage: Eukaryota; Fungi; Ascomycota; Sordariomycetes; Sordariales; Podosporaceae. The record is from the annotation of a GenBank genome assembly.